RNAcentral lists this long non-coding RNA (878 nucleotides) under Homo sapiens (human). RNAcentral describes it as "non-protein coding lnc-FAM161A-1:6". Lineage: Eukaryota; Metazoa; Chordata; Mammalia; Primates; Hominidae. The record is from RNAcentral.
AUUUCAGGGCGACUUUGGGAACACAAUAGUCGACUCGCCGACGUUCCCUUAGACGCGUUGCCAUACGUCGUCACCCAUAGAAACGGCUUUCCGCGGGGCAGACUCCAAGUCUCGCCUGUGUGAGCGGGCAGGGGUAGCAGGAAAGGCUGUUUUUCAUUUCCAAGAGAAAACCGUCACCCCGCCCACCUCGAACCUCCUCCCAACAUCUCAGGAUAGAAACGCCGCGCUCAGGUGAAUGAGAAAUGUUCUGAUACAGGAAAGAGGAGUUCGUGUUUCUUUCAGAAGGUGACCGUUUUCCUCCUUCUGAGGUCACGAGCUGUCCGUCCGAUGCCCAGAAUUCCGAGGCCUGAUGUGGCGUGUUUCCGGUAGCUGGGCUCCUCGGAGAGCUGUGGGAAGAGGCGCGGGCGACCGGGGGCGUCAGCGAGCCCUGUCUUCGCCUGCCUUCGCCGGCGUGGACUCUUCCCAGUGCCCGUCUUCCCCCGCGAAGUAAUAGUGUCCUGUAUUUCCUGACUGUAAGAAGAAUAGUGCUUUUAAAAAAUGCCUGCUCCCUGUAAUAGCAGCAGUAGUUCGAGAGUACAUACAUGUUUAUAAAAGAAACUUAAACUCUCAUUCUUGCCACAGUGGAUAAUACUAUUAACAUAUUGCUACAUAAAUUUAGAAUUUUCAUACAUACACGUAAAGGUGUUUGGUUUUUUAAAACAGAAAAACGUAAGCGCGUUAUCUCCCAGUAAUGUCUUUGCAGGUAAAUUAAAAUAAUUACAUAUAUAUUUAUAUUUAUAUAUAUAUAUUUUUUCUAAGAGAUGGGGUUGUUGCCCAGGCUGGUCUUGACCUCCCGGGCUCAAGUGAUACUCCCACCUCAGGCUCCCAAAGUGCUGGGA